GUCUAAAGAACUAAGCCAUGCAUGUCUAAGUAUAAGCAGAUUAUACUGCGAGACUGCGGACGGCUCAUUAAAACAGUCACAAUCUAUUCGAUGAUUCUUACUACUCGGAUAACCGUAGUAAUUCUACAGCUAAUACGUGCACAAACACCAGGCUCUGCCUAGUGGUAUUUAUUAGAUCAAACGCCAAUAGACUUACGUCUUUCGGUGAAUCAUAGUAACUUCUCGGAUCGGUCUCAGACCGACAAAUCGUUCGAAUUUCUGCCCUAUCAGCUUUCGAUGGUAGGAUAGAGGCCUACCAUGGCUUUAACGGGUGACGGAGAAUUAGGGUUCGAUUCCGGAGAGGGAGCCUGAGAAACGGCUACCACAUCCAAGGAAGGCAGCAGGCGCGCAAAUUACCCAAUCCCGACUCGGGGAGGUAGUGACAAGAAAUAACAAUAGCCGGUUAAUUACGAUUGGCUAAUUGGAAUGAGUACAAUUUAAAUCUCUUAACGAGGAUCCAUU
Molecule: ribosomal RNA, 501 nt
Filed under: uncultured eukaryote
Lineage: Eukaryota
Description: bacterial SSU rRNA
Rfam family: Eukaryotic small subunit ribosomal RNA
Source: RNAcentral